GGAGAGGUGGCCGAGAGGCUGAAGGCACCGCUCUCGAAAAGCGGCAUCCUGUUGACGCGGGAUCGGGGGUUCAAAUCCCUCCCUCUCCG
Molecule: transfer RNA, 89 nt
Filed under: Desulfosudis oleivorans Hxd3
Lineage: Bacteria; Pseudomonadati; Thermodesulfobacteriota; Desulfobacteria; Desulfobacterales; Desulfosudaceae
Description: Desulfococcus oleovorans Hxd3 tRNA
Rfam family: tRNA
About the family: Transfer RNA (tRNA) molecules are approximately 80 nucleotides in length. Their secondary structure includes four short double-helical elements and three loops (D, anti-codon, and T loops). Further hydrogen bonds mediate the characteristic L-shaped molecular structure. tRNAs have two regions of fundamental functional importance: the anti-codon, which is responsible for specific mRNA codon recognition, and the 3' end, to which the tRNAs corresponding amino acid is attached (by aminoacyl-tRNA synthetases). tRNAs cope with the degeneracy of the genetic code in two manners: having more than one tRNA (with a specific anti-codon) for a particular amino acid; and 'wobble' base-pairing, i.e. permitting non-standard base-pairing at the 3rd anti-codon position.
Source: Rfam by way of RNAcentral